AGACAUCUGGGCAAGUCAACAGGAAGGUGGAUAUCCAAAUCUCUCUCUUCGCAAUGAGUUUCCAGUUAGAUGGAGGAGAGAGUAAUAAAACACAGAGCUGAGAUUCCUGACUUCACAGAUCCCUGAGGAGAUGUUUACUAAAGGGAAUCUUCUGGUCACUGUUACCUUCCUCCGUACUUACCUGCCUCAUGGAUAACACUGAAGAAUGCAGUUUACUUACAUCUUUUUCUGUUUGACAGAAGACAGUUAUUAGAACCCGAAAGGAAGAAGCUAUACGACUGGGGACACAUGUCUUAGAAGCACACUCAUUAGAUAAAGUGUCGCAUACUCUUUGAUAAGAGUCUCACACUGUUGCCCAGGCGGGAGUGCAGUGGCACAAUCUCGGCUCACUGAAACCUCCACCUCCCAGGUUCAAGCGAUUCUCCUGCCUCAGCCUCUUGAGUAACUGGGAUUACAGGUGCCCGCCACCAUGCCCGGCUAAUUUUUUGUAUUUUUAGUAGAGAUGGGGUUUCACUAUGUUGGCCAGGCUGGUCUCGAACACCUGACCUCAUGAUCCAUCUGCCUCAGCUCCCAAAGUGCUGGGAUUACAGGUGUGAGCCACUGCACCCAGCCGAAAUAUUUUCUUUUCUUUUUCUUUCUUUCCUUCUUUUUAAAAAAAUUCUGUAGCUGAUCCCUGAUGGCUUUUAAUUUGAAUAAAACUUUAUUUAAAGAAA
This 713-nucleotide long non-coding RNA is filed under the name Homo sapiens (human). RNAcentral describes it as "HSALNT0324501". The record is from RNAcentral. Lineage: Eukaryota; Metazoa; Chordata; Mammalia; Primates; Hominidae.